Molecule: ribosomal RNA, 207 nt
Filed under: uncultured bacterium
Lineage: Bacteria
Description: partial 16S ribosomal RNA
Rfam family: Bacterial small subunit ribosomal RNA
Source: RNAcentral
CGUGCAGGCGGUUUCGUAAGUCGGACGUGAAAGCUCCUGGCUUAACUGGGAGAGGCCGUUCGAUACUGCGGGACUUGAGGUUGGGAGAGGGACGUGGAAUUCCCGGUGUAGUGGUGGAAUGCGUAGAUAUCGGGAGGAACACCAGUGGCGAAGGCGGCGUCCUGGCCCAUACCUGACGCUGAGACGCGAAAGCGUGGGUAGCGAACG